RNAcentral lists this long non-coding RNA (5979 nucleotides) under Sus scrofa (pig). RNAcentral describes it as "lncRNA (ENSSSCG00015020640.1)". The record is from RNAcentral. Lineage: Eukaryota; Metazoa; Chordata; Mammalia; Artiodactyla; Suidae.
UAAGUUAAAUCUGUCUCACCUUUUCUCCCAAAUCCAAUUAAUUAAAUUAAUCAGUCCUGUCACCAGUGACUUGGUGUAGGUCCUCAUUCCAUUUUAUUGGCACAUCACAAAAACAUUGAUUAUUAACUGAUAUUUUCAACUCUAGACUUGUUCCUCUCAAUACAUUCAUUCACUGUUGUAGAACUAAAAAAGCCACUCCUGUCCCUCAGAUUCAUCCUGUAGCUACUGAGAAUCAUCUGCAAUACAGCAUCCUGAACAUACUAUUACUCAUACAUUGCCUUUGCUCAUGCCUCGUACAGUUUUAUUCCCCCUAUACCACUAGCACACACUAUUUUACUUAUAAUUCUGCAUUUAUUCAUCUCUUCCUUGUUUAGAUCAUGAGAAAAAACUUGUUUCAUAGCCAUCUUCUGUUCCAAGGGACUUGCAUAGUUCUUGGUCUAUAGCAAGUGCUGAAUGGUUAUAGAAUGGAUUUUCUGAGCCAUAGCUGGAAAGCAUAAUGAUGAUGCUGACAUCUGAGAAUACUACUUGCAGCUAAAGAAAAUAAUCUCCCAAAUUAUAGUGGUUUGACAGAAUACAAGCUCUUUUCUUUGUCACCUAACAGUUCAACAUGAGCAUUCUCCAAAACUCUUCUGCAUGAGUAUUUGAGAGAUAGCUGGCCAUCUCUACCACAUGACUUAUGAAAGCAAGAAUAUAUGUCCUAUAUUACAAUGGAAAAUGAAAUUUUCUGCAGGGGUUAUUAAAGUAGUGAAUUUCAGUUAUCAGGAAAAGGCCCUUAGGUAUAAUGUUUUGUUACCAACAACUGUGGAUGGCUUUUGAGGUUGCAUCAGCCUUGGGAAUGAUUUUCAAAAACAGUUAAAUCCAUACAGCUUUAAUUUGGACCUCCCAUGAAUUGUAGGACCUGCCCAAUGAGAUUAGGCAUUUGGAAUAGCUCAGAUCUCCCUGCAGUAAUUACAUUUUACUUUCUUAAAACCAGAUGUUCCCCAGGACAGGGAGAAUUUCAUGUUUUCUAAAACAGGUGGAGCAUCUUUAAACAGUUCCACUUUUCACACACUACAUUUUCAAAUAAAAAAGAAAGUAUCUUUUUUACCUUAAAGGAUAGUGCCCAAAUUUCACCUAUCAAAAAUAUCAUUUUUUAAGAAAUUGUUAGAUUUCUUCAUAUGAAUAUCAAAUAACUCUAUCUGUAAUUGCCUACUCUCUCCUAUUUGAUAUAUGAGAAAUUAAAUGGAAAAUUUGCCCAAUAGAGACAGACAGGUGCUAUAUAAACACAUCUGUAGGUCAUUUAGAAAUUAAUAUCAUCACCCUUUUCAUUAAAGUGACAUGCAUAUAUUUAGAAACUACUUACCAAAAACCUAAUGAAAGACUGUCCUUAAUAACUUCGCUUUAUGUUCACAUAUAAAUCAGCAUUAAAAUCCUUUACAUAAUGAAAGGCACAUUCUUCGCCAGGAAAAAAAAAUAAGUUCUAUUUGUUUUCCCAUUUAAAAAAUGUGGACUGAAACUUUAUCCUGUUUGUUUAAAUAAUUUAUACAUUUAUUACCACUGUGUAUGUAUAAAGGUAUUUCACAUUUUGAGUCUUAUACAGUUUAUAAAUAAGUAUCACAUUUUCUAGUAUCACAUUUGCACUAAUGUUGAGAUGAUUGUAUUACAAUAUAGAAAUAAAUACAUAGCUAAGGACAUAUCAAAAUUCAUAUACUUGUAUCUACAAUGAGUGUUAAGUUUUUCAUGUGAAGAUCCUCAGGGCAUCUCUAUUGAGUUCAUGGCAUACUUUCCCUAAAUCAUUUAUGCUGACAUGGUGUCAUGGAUAAAGUCUAAAUUUGUAUAUGAGUUACAACAGCUAUUUUCUGCCUGAGUACUCAGUCUUACCAAUGUCUGUGUUUCAUCCUAUAUUCAUGGAAUCUCUAGGCUACGUGGCAUUCACUGCACAGGAGAUGGAGACAUAAACUUUUAAGCAAGUAAAUGGGCUUCUGUGAUCAUUUCACGCACAAUUUCUAAAUUUAAUCCUUCUUGUAUAGAGUUUUAUAAGAUCAUUUUACAGUCUGUCUAUUGAAAGACAGCUAACAUACAUAAUUGUUGAAUAGAUGUCUGUUCAAGGUAAAUCAAUGAGGUCAUUUUUUAUGUUGAAAUCUGUUAUAAAGUGCGUGGAAUCCAAAUAUAAUGCAAAUGGAAGACUAACUUCUGAUUAAAAGACCUGUGGAUUCAAUUGAUAACAUUUCAUGUUAAACUGCACUGGAAUUAAAGUUACCAAAUAUGAAGAUCCACCAGUGCUAGCAUUUCAGAAGUCUCAUUUGAAAACCCAGUUUAGCCUUUACACAAAUCAUGUACAUCUUAGGUAGUUUUUCAUUGUUGAUUAUGUAAAGUACUGCAAUGCCUUGAUUCUCUAUUUUUAUGUGGGGAAUAGAAGCAUUUGAGAAAAUCCUUACACGUGUAUUUUUGGUUGUUUUCAUUCUGCAUUGUCUUAUGGUUAUUUAAUAUGAAUCAAUAGGUGAUAUAAAAGUUAAAGAGGUUCUUGAGGUUAAAUAUAAACUCUCUACCAAGAUGGACAUUGAAAUAUAGAGACUUGUUUAUGUUAAGACUUUAUUAAAACAGAUAGCUUUUUCAGGGAAAGCAUAUGCUGUAUUCAUCUUAUUAGAGUGUUAUUACUCUCUUAUGACUAAAAGGAUAGAUUUUUAAAAUAUAUAAUCCACAGAAAGCACUCCAGUAUAUAAACUCUUUUUCUAUAGAAUGUUUAUUUUUGCCAAUUAAAUCUGACAAUGCCUGCAAUAAAAAUGAUUACAGGGUUAUGACAAACCUGUGCACUUAUUUCUCAUUUUUAGUUUAUUUUUAAAACAUGCUAGUUAUAUUUGAAGGUGAAAGCACAAGCUGUGUUUUCAAGAUGUGUUUUUUCUCAGUAGAAUUAUGUCAUGGGAAAACACUAUGGAUAUCCAUCAAAGUGAAACCUACAAGGACAUAAGAGCUCGUUAUUAGCGAACAUUGUUUGUAACCUUCAGAUGGCUUCAGCAUUUCUGUGACAAAAUAGCAAGGAGAAAGAAAGAUUAAAUCACAUCAUACCCUCAAAAUUAACAUCACUACAUAAAUUAUGGCUUUUAUGUAAAUCUAAAAUUUAUAUUUUUUACUUUAAAACAAUGAACUAUUACAGCUUCCAAGCUUUGUAAUAAAAUGUUACAGUGAGUUCAAGUUCGGUAAGGUCAAUGCUGGCUUCAGGUUAACAUUAUUGAUUGAAACUUGCUAAAACAUCCUGGCAGAUACAGUGCAAUAACUUCAGUCAGGAAAGUAAGCUGAGGAACAUAGCAUUGUGGUUCUGACGCAUGUUGUGGCUAGUAUACUUGUUCCUUCUGCAAAAACCUAGAAGGAACAAAAGAUAAUUAAAUGUGGAAUUGUAUAACACUGGUAAAUGAUAGAAAGUUACUGUUCAUAUACUAACGCAAACUUUGGUAGCACACUUGCAAUUAGAUUAUUUAUGUUUUUAAUAAAUAGUUUUGAAAGAUGAAUAUUUUAUUCUUAUUCAUACCUUAAAAAAACUAAAACCUAAAAAUGUGUAAUGUUGUAAUGGUCUCCAAAUUUGUAUUUAUACUCUAUUUUUAUACAUAUACAUUAUGUAUACUAUUUAUAUAUAUUCUAUAUGUUUUGAGAAAGUAUAUACAUAAAUUAUAUAUGUAUGUAAUAUAUGGUGUUCUUUAUUGGGUCAGGAAUUUGAGGACCUUUUUUUCUUUCUUUUUUUUUCAAACAUUAUUCCCUCUUUUAAACAAGGUUGAUGAGAUGAUAGAAAAUGUUGGAAGGAAGGCUGCAAUCUGCUAUAAUGGAAGAGAGCUUUUUUCUUUGCCACCCUCAUAUGGUUAAUGUGGGCAUCUCUGACCUUGACAAUUUUCAACAAAUGUACUUGAAGAGAAAUAUACUUCAGGCAAAAUAUUGUAGCAAUCAAAGCCUUUGGUGGUUAAAUUGACUAAAAAUAUUGGCCCAUUAUUCAAUUUAUUUUAUUUCUGUUAGUAAUAGGCUUGGUUGACAGAGAGAUUACUGGCUGUUUUCAUUGACAUGUAUAAACAGAAUUCCAGUUUAAAGAAAGUAAUCUACUGUUGAUUUUCUGAGGGAACAUAUCACUAAAAUGAUAUCCCUUUGUGAUGUUUAUUCUAUUGUUUGUUCACUCGUGGAAUGGUAAACUAUGGAUGUGACAUUUGAAAGCACAUAAGUGGAAAAUUCUAAAAGAUUGAACAGUGUAGACCUGAUAUCCUCUAAAAUGGGUAAACUCUCACAUUUGAAAUUUUAAAUCGCCCUAUUUGAACUUUUUCCUCUAUGAGCAGCUCUCAGGCAGAUGAACAUUCCUAUCAUUUAAAUCAUCAUGUGAAUUCUGACCCUAAUUGGGUAAGUUUUAUAUUAGGUUCCCACCAAGCAAUCAUGGAAGCAAUUAUGGGGACUUGUCCUAGGGCUGCCAUAGCCCAGGUGCUGUUGCCUGAUUGUCAUUUUGUAAUUACCUUGGUACUUCCCAGCUACUCCUUAGCAUCAGUUAAAGGAUACAACAUACUUCAAGUGAAGUUUCCUUGGAAGUACAAGUAAAUAAUUAUUUAGUUUGCUGCUUUAUGAAGGUGCUGUUUGCUUUACCUGGGAUGUGCAGAGGUAUAAUGAAAAUUGCACCUCUCCUCUCUUCUGAGGAGACUUGUACAGACAUUAAAUUGGAGAUGGAAUCUUUGCAAUUAUCCACAGAGUUCCUUUUUAAAUAUAGAAAGUACCUUAAAUAAUAGUGAUGAUAGAGGCAUUGCCAACUUUAGGAUUUUUUUCAAGUCUUUGAAGUCUGACUUUGCAGAACAGAUUGUAAAUCUCUGGCCCAUUACACACCUGCGGAGAUUUUGGUGUUUUAUUUCUCUUGGGUGAAACUACAGAAGCCAAAACCAUGUUAAUCACUGUCAGAACCAGUUGUAUAAAAUGCCAAAAUGCAGUGAACCAAGUGUUUUAUAAUAAAUAUGACAAUACAGUCAGAAUGUUGUUUUGUUAGGCUUGUUAUUUGUUGUAAUUUUUCAUUUAUAAUCUUUGAAAGGAGAAUAUUCUAAGGCUUUUAUCAAAAAAAAAAUUUAACCACAGGGGAGAUGUCACCAUAUUGUAUAAAUAAUACUCUAAGUCCUUGUAUAAUAAUUAAUUCAGAUAAAAAUAAAUUUAAUGGUGAUAUUUGAUUUAAAUGCUUUAAAUAUACCUGUUUUAACACUUCAAUAUCAAAUAUUGCUACACAAAUUUUUAUUUAUCUGACACUCUCUGAAUGACAUAAUUAAUAGGAGAAUUAAUAUUUUCACUAUAUUAUUUCAUAUUUUUAUCUUUCUUUUUUAUUUAUAAUUGGAUCUUAGGUUUCUUUCUACCAAAUAGCAAUUAUGAUGAUUGGGAUAUGGAAAAAAUAAUUUUAAUCAUCUACCAGUGUUACUUAAAUUAGAUGCUGAAUUAACUAGAUUUAAAAUUAAUACAGAUAGCUUAGCUAUGUCAUUGGCUUUUCUUUACUCAGUAUCCUGACAUGCAUUUUCAACUGAUCUAUCAAAGGAAACAUGUUCUGUGACAAAGAGAAUAAAUAUAUCAUAAUAUAUCAUAAAUUGCUAUGUGUAGUUCAUGAUGGAUGAUUCUGAUAUGUAAUAUCCAAAUUAAAUAAUAUCCAUAUAUUCAUGCACCAUCUGAUGUAAUUUUAAUAACAAUUUUGGGGAAGAUUGUUCUUCCUAUUGAAUAACCACUUACAUAAAUGUAAAACGUGUUAAAUUUACUUGCAGUCGGGAGUUCCUGUUGUGGCUCAGUGGUUAACAAAUCUGACUAGGAACCAUGAGGUUGUAGGUUUGAUUCCUGGCUUCACUCAGUGGAUUAAGGAUCUGCUGUUGCCACGACCUGUAGUGUAGGUCACAGAAGCAGCUUGGGUCCAAGUUGCUGUGGCUGUGGCUUAGGCCUGUGGCUUGGGCCUGCGGCUACAGCUCCAAUUCAACCCCUAGCCUGGGAACCUCCAUAUGCCGUGGCUGUGGCCCU